GGGCCUAUAGUUCAAUGGUAGAAUUACGGUCUCCAAAACCGUCGAUCAAGGUUCGAAUCCUUGUGGGCCCGCUA
Molecule: transfer RNA, 74 nt
Filed under: Patescibacteria group bacterium
Lineage: Bacteria
Description: tRNA-Trp
Rfam family: tRNA
About the family: Transfer RNA (tRNA) molecules are approximately 80 nucleotides in length. Their secondary structure includes four short double-helical elements and three loops (D, anti-codon, and T loops).
Source: RNAcentral